AGGGGAAUAUUGCACAAUGGGCGCAAGCCUGAUGCAGCCAUGCCGCGUGUAUGAUGAAGGCCUUCGGGUUGUAAAGUACUUUCAGCGGGGAGGAAGGGAGUAAAGUUAAUACCUUUGCUCAUUGACGCUACCCGCAGAAGAAGCACCGGCUAACUCCGUGCCAGCAGCCGCGGUAAUACGGAGGGUGCAAGCGUUAAUCGGAAUUACUGGGCGUAAAGCGCACGCAGGCGGUUUGUUAAGUCAGAUGUGAAAUCCCCGGGCUCAACCUGGGAACUGCAGCUGAUACUGGCAAGCUUUAGUCUCGUUGAGGGGGGUAGAAUUCCAGGUGUAUCGGUGAAUUGCGUAGAGAUCUGGAGGGAUACCGGUGGCGAAGGCGGCCCCCUUGACGAAGACUGACGCUCAGGUGCGAAAGCGUGAGGAGCAAACAGG
This 429-nucleotide ribosomal RNA is filed under the name Chloroflexota bacterium. Its description in RNAcentral is "Chloroflexi bacterium partial 16S ribosomal RNA". It matches the Rfam family "Bacterial small subunit ribosomal RNA", at positions 355 to 776 of the family's 1533-position model. Lineage: Bacteria; Bacillati; Chloroflexota. The record is from RNAcentral.